This 468-nucleotide ribosomal RNA is filed under the name uncultured bacterium. Its description in RNAcentral is "partial 16S ribosomal RNA". It matches the Rfam family "Bacterial small subunit ribosomal RNA", at positions 28 to 507 of the family's 1533-position model. The record is from RNAcentral.
GACGAACGCUGGCGGCGUGCUUAGCACAUGCCAGUCGAACGGAAAGGCCCUGCUUUUGUGGGGUGCUCGAGUGGCGAACGGGUGAGUAACACGUGAGUAACCUGCCCUUGACUUUGGGAUAACUUCAGGAAACUGGGGCUAAUACCGGAUAGGAGCUCCUGCUGCAUGGUGGGGGUUGGAAAGUUUCGGCGGUUGGGGAUGGACUCGCGGCUUAUCAGCUUGUUGGUGGGGUAGUGGCUUACCAAGGCUUUGACGGGUAGCCGGCCUGAGAGGGUGACCGGCCACAUUGGGACUGAGAUACGGCCCAGACUCCUACGGGAGGCAGCAGUGGGGAAUAUUGCACAAUGGGCGGAAGCCUGAUGCAGCAACGCCGCGUGCGGGAUGACGGCCUUCGGGUUGUAAACCGCUUGCGCCUGUGACGAAGCGUGAGUGACGGUAAUGGGUAAAGAAGCACCGGCUAACUACGUG